GCUCGGCCCUUUUAAAUAAAAAUCUGAUGGGCUUCUUUUAUUUAUAGGAUUUGGGCUUCUUUAAUUUAAUUGUUUGGGCCUUAUUCAAAGAAAAACAUGAUAGACUUAAUUUAUCUAAUUAAUUUGGGCUUAUAUCUAUUUAAAUUAUUUGAGCUCUUAAUUAUUAAUUUAAAUUGAGCUUGAUUAAUUUAAUUAUAUAUUGACCUUUAAAUUAAUUAUUUAAAUGGAGUUCUUUAUUUCAAGUAUUUAUAAAUGGAUUUUAAAAUAAAAUAUUUUGAGUUAAACUCUUAUUUAAAUUAAUUCUUUUCAAAUGACUUAUUAAUAUGGAUUAUUUGAAAAUGAUUAAAUGAUUUUAAAUAUGAGAAAGCAUGAUCUAUGAUGAUAUAAUUUAUCUAUGUGAUAUUAUAGGAUUUGUUUUUAAGAUGACGGAAUAUUUGACUUGAUGACAUAAAUAGAACGAGUUAUGAUUAAUGCGCAUGUUGAUGUUCGAAUAAAUAGUUCGAACCUAAAUGUUAGUUAUGUGAUAAAUGUUUUGAGUUUAAGGUUUUGAACGAGACGAAACAAGAUUAAUAUGGAUGCUAGAACCCUAAAAUCAUUAAAGGAGAUAGUUUAGUUUAGAGACCUAUCUUCCUUUCUUACACGACUUUCUUCUCGAACUUAUCGACUCUUCGUCAAUAAAGGUCCAGACGGGAAGUGAAAGCUAAAGAAGGAGGUAACUCUACGCCCCUAGUGGGAACGGAAUGAGGUUGAGCGGGUGAUGGAAUGGAGUGGAGUUGAGCGGAUGUACCUUUUGACAUAGAACAAUAAUGUAACCUUGAGUAUACAUCUUCAUAUGUAUAACUCACACGUAUUUCCGCUGAAAGAUACUCUGAUUAUGAUAAUGUUUUAUUUUAAGUAUGAUACUCUUUUGUUGGGUAAUCCACUUCGACGGGCCUUCCCGAACGAACGUCUUGUAUUUGCCCAAGUGAUCAGUUAUGAUCCUAGUGUUAUAUAAUAAAUGUCUCUUUUCAUAAAA
Molecule: long non-coding RNA, 1015 nt
Organism: Salvia miltiorrhiza (redroot sage)
Lineage: Eukaryota; Viridiplantae; Streptophyta; Magnoliopsida; Lamiales; Lamiaceae
Exons: 2
Source: RefSeq, a predicted model, not a curated record